Molecule: ribosomal RNA, 253 nt
Filed under: uncultured bacterium
Lineage: Bacteria
Description: partial 16S ribosomal RNA
Rfam family: Bacterial small subunit ribosomal RNA
Source: RNAcentral
UACGGAGGAUCCAAGCGUUAUCCGGAAUCAUUGGGUUUAAAGGGUGCGUAGGCGGUCCUUUAAGUCAGCGGUGAAAUCCCACGGCUCAACCGUGGAACUGCCGUUGAUACUGAGGGACUUGAGUUCGUCCGAGGUCGCUGGAAUGCGUGGUGUAGCGGUGAAAUGCAUAGAUAUCAGGAGGAACACCGGUGGCGAAGGCGGGAUCCUGGGCCAGUACUGACGCUGAGGAGCGAAAGCGUGGGGAGCAAACAGG